This 253-nucleotide ribosomal RNA is filed under the name uncultured bacterium. RNAcentral describes it as "partial 16S ribosomal RNA". It matches the Rfam family "Bacterial small subunit ribosomal RNA", at positions 524 to 776 of the family's 1533-position model. The record is from RNAcentral.
GACAGAGGGUGCAAGCGUUGUUCGGAAUUACUGGGCGUAAAGCGCGUGUAGGCGGCCCGGAAAGUCGGAUGUGAAAGCCCUGGGCUUAACCUAGGAAGUGCAUUCGAAACUGCUGGGCUUGAGUUCUGGAGAGGAAGGCGGAAUUCUCGGUGUAGAGGUGAAAUUCGUAGAUAUCGAGAGGAACACCGGUGGCGAAGGCGGCCUUCUGGACAGUGACUGACGCUGAGACGCGAAAGCGUGGGGAGCAAACAGG